AACAAUUAACAGGUCACACGAUAAUCAGAACAACGAGGAGAUCCGUGGUCUCUGCUCUGGUGCUGCGGUUGAGCUUUGAGGGGCCUGAAAAAAAUAAAAUUACUUUGAUAUUCCAAAGGUAUGUCAUCAGAACUCCUGACGAGUGCCGAAACUAACAAGUCCCGAACGAUGAAGCGUUUUCUCCCCUGGGGAGGCGUCAGGACUCACACAAGUUCUGCAGAGUGAGAUGAGUCCCGAGCAAGUGCCCAGUGCUGAAACAUUUUUUUUCUCAUCAAAAUGCAAUAAAUACAGGGUUCAAUGAGUUCUGAAGCCAACGAGGACCACAGUAUGAUGGUAUUUCAAAAGUAUGUUAUUGUGGAUGCCAAAAAAUCUACUUUGAUAUUAUUUUCAUAUCCCAAAGAUACAGACAUCUGACACUGGAGGCCCAGGAGGGCAGAGCUGGGCUGAUGACCCAGGGUGACAUGUCCUCCUGUCACCUGACCCAGCUGGGGAGAAGAAGUCUUCUGUUUGAGAACGGCGGUUUGACCUUGACGGGGCCAUAAUCAAUCUGGGCCUCCGUUCCCUCGUCUCCAAAAUGAGGCAGAAUUGUCCUCCCUCGUGGGCUGUGUCCAGGCUGGCAGGUGACACACGUAAAGCGUCCACAGAGUAGAUGCUGUGCGGAGCCACGGUUUUCAUUCUUAACUGAGCCGGCAUUCUAGUUGCGGAGGGGCGUGAAGGGAAGCCCUUUCAGAACCAGGCACAGAGAAGAGGAAAAAGCGACUCUGGAGGUCUCACCUCCGCCUGGCUCAGCGGGCUUCAUCAAUCUUGCAUGAAACCGAAGUCGGGGAGACAGGGCUCCAGGGGGCUGAUGGGGACCCAGCAGGAGGGAAGAUGGCCUCCUGUUCGAAGACGCCCCACUAUUCUCUCAUCACCAUGGAGACCGAGCUGGCUGCCCUAUGGGGUUCCCGCCUACCCAGAGCCUGAGGCUGCCACAAAGGGAGGGGCAGGGGCCGUGCGGACGGAGACCCACUGGAAGGCUGGGGUCGGGCGGCAAGGGGAGUGUCUGUGCCCCUCCCCCCACCCCCAAGGUGCUGAAGAGCUCAGGCCUGCGCGGAGCCCGAGCAGGUCCGGGGUCGGAAUCCCAGCGCUGCAGGCAGCAGCCAGUUUCCCGACUGUGGGAAAAACACUUCCUCUCUCCAAGCCUCAGGUGCCGCAUCUGUCCAAGGAAGGGGCAGAAAGAAUGCAAGGAAAACUGUGGAAAUGGGCCCGGACGACUGCGUGGUGACAGCCAGAG
Molecule: long non-coding RNA, 1273 nt
Organism: Phyllostomus hastatus (greater spear-nosed bat)
Lineage: Eukaryota; Metazoa; Chordata; Mammalia; Chiroptera; Phyllostomidae
Exons: 3
Source: RefSeq, a predicted model, not a curated record